AACGAACGCUGGCGGCAUGCCUUACACAUGCAAGUCGAACGGCAGCACGGGAGCAAUCCUGGUGGCGAGUGGCGAACGGGUGAGUAAUAUAUCGGAACGUGCCCAGUCGUGGGGGAUAACGUAGCGAAAGCUACGCUAAUACCGCAUACGAUCUAUGGAUGAAAGCGGGGGGAUCGCAAGACCUCGCGCGAUUGGAGCGGCCGAUAUCAGAUUAGGUAGUUGGUGAGGUAAAGGCUCACCAAGCCGACGAUCUGUAGCUGGUCUGAGAGGACGACCAGCCACACUGGGACUGAGACACGGCCCAGACUCCUACGGGAGGCAGCAGUGGGGAAUUUUGGACAAUGGGCGCAAGCCUGAUCCAGCAAUGCCGCGUGCAGGAUGAAGGCCU
Molecule: ribosomal RNA, 388 nt
Filed under: uncultured bacterium
Lineage: Bacteria
Description: bacterial SSU rRNA
Rfam family: Bacterial small subunit ribosomal RNA
Source: RNAcentral